RNAcentral lists this ribosomal RNA (236 nucleotides) under uncultured bacterium. RNAcentral describes it as "partial 16S ribosomal RNA". It matches the Rfam family "Bacterial small subunit ribosomal RNA", at positions 118 to 347 of the family's 1533-position model. The record is from RNAcentral.
UGAGGAACAUGACCUUCGGCGGGGGAUAGCCGGCCCAACGGCCGGGUAAUACCGCGUACGACCACAUGGGGACAUCCCUGAGUGGUGAAAGCAGCAAUGCGCCGAUGGAGUGCCUCGCGGCCUAUCAGCUAGUUGGUGGGGUAACGGCUCACCAAGGCAACGACGGGUAGCAGGUCUGAGAGGAUGGCCAGCCACAUUGGGACUGAGACACGGCCCAGACCUCCGUACGGGAGCAG